This 2127-nucleotide ribosomal RNA is filed under the name Edwardsiella tarda. RNAcentral describes it as "bacterial LSU rRNA". It matches the Rfam family "Bacterial large subunit ribosomal RNA", at positions 840 to 2925 of the family's 2925-position model. The record is from RNAcentral. Lineage: Bacteria; Pseudomonadati; Pseudomonadota; Gammaproteobacteria; Enterobacterales; Hafniaceae.
GGGAGAUAGCUGGUUCUCCCGAAAGCUAUUUAGGUAGCGCCUCGUGAACUCAUCUUCGGGGGUAGCACUGUUUCGGCUAGGGGGUCAUCCCGACUUACCAACCCGAUGCAAACUACGAAUACCGAAGAAUGUUAUCACGGGAGACACACGGCGGGUGCUAACGUCCGUCGUGAAGAGGGAAACAACCCAGACCCCAGCUAAGGUCCCAAAGUCAUGGUUAAGUGGGAAACGAUGUGGGAAGGCAUAGACAGCCAGGAUGUUGGCUUAGAAGCAGCCAUCAUUUAAAGAAAGCGUAAUAGCUCACUGGUCGAGUCGGCCUGCGCGGAAGAGUGUAACGGGGCUAAACCAUGCACCGAAGCUGCGGCAGCGACACUAAGUGUUGUUGGGGGUAGGGGAGCGUUCUGUAAGCCUGUGAAGGUGGCCUGUGAAGGGGCUGGCUGGAGGUAUCAGAAGUGCGAAUGCUGACAUAAGUAACGAUAAAAGCGGGGUGAAAAGCCCGCUCGCCGGAAGACCAAGGGUUUCCUGGUCCAACGUUAAUCGGGGCAGGGUAAGUCGACCCCUAAGGCGAGGCCGAAAGGCGUAGUCGAUGGGAAACAGGUUAAUAUUCCUGUACUUGGUGUUAUUUGCGAAGGGGGGACGGAGAAGGCUAGACCGGCCGGGCGACGGUUGUCCCGGUUUAAGCGUGUAGGUGUGAUGACCUGGCAAAUCCGGUUAUCUCUAACACUGAGGCGUGAUGACGAGGCACUACGGUGCUGAAGUGGUUAAUGCCCUGCUUCCAGGAAAAGCCUCUAAGCUCUAGAUAAACACUGAAUCGUACCCCAAACCGACACAGGUGGUCAGGUAGAGAAUACCAAGGCGCUUGAGAGAACUCGGGUGAAGGAACUAGGCCAAAAUGGUGCCGUAACUUCGGGAGAAGGCACGCUGGCAUGUAGGUGAAGUCCCUCGCGGAUGGAGCCGAAGCCAGUCGAAGAUACCAGCUGGCUGCAACUGUUUAAUAAAAACACAGCACUCUGCAAACACGAAAGUGGACGUAUUAGGGGUGUGACGCCUGCCCGGUGCUGGAAGGUUAAUUGAUGGGGUCAGCCGCAAGGCGAAGCUCUUGAUCGAAGCCCCAGUAAACGGCGGCCGUAACUAUAACGGUCCUAAGGUAGCGAAAUUCCUUGUCGGGUAAGUUCCGACCUGCACGAAUGGCGUAAUGAUGGCCAGGCUGUCUCCACCCCGAGACUCAGUGAAAUUGAACUCGCUGUGAAGAUGCAGUGUACCCGCGGCAAGACGGAAAGACCCCGUGAACCUUUACUAUAGCUUGACACUGAACAUUGAACCUUGAUGUGUAGGAUAGGUGGGAGGCUUUUGAAGUGUGGACGCCAGUUCUGCAUGGAGCCGACCUUGAAAUACCACCCUUUAAUGUUUGAUGUUCUAACCUGGUCCCGUAAUCCGGGAUAGGGACAGUGUCUGGUGGGUAGUUUGACUGGGGCGGUCUCCUCCCAAAGAGUAACGGAGGAGCACGAAGGUUAGCUAAUCCUGGUCGGACAUCAGGAGGUUAGUGCAAAGGCAUAAGCUAGCUUGACUGCGAGAGUGGACGGCUCGAGCAGGUGCGAAAGCAGGUCUUAGUGAUCCGGUGGUUCUGAAUGGAAGGGCCAUCGCUCAACGGAUAAAAGGUACUCCGGGGAUAACAGGCUGAUACCGCCCAAGAGUUCAUAUCGACGGCGGUGUUUGGCACCUCGAUGUCGGCUCAUCACAUCCUGGGGCUGAAGUAGGUCCCAAGGGUAUGGCUGUUCGCCAUUUAAAGUGGUACGCGAGCUGGGUUUAGAACGUCGUGAGACAGUUCCGGUCCCUAUCUGCCGUGGGCGUUGGAAGAUUGAGAGGGGCUGCUCCUAGUACGAGAGGACCGGAGUGGACGCACCGCUGGUGUUCGGGUUGUGAUGCCAAUUGCAUUGCCCGGUAGCUACGUGCGGAAGAGAUAAGCGCUGAAAGCAUCUAAGCGCGAAACUUGCCUCGAGAUGAGUCUUCCCUUGGACCUUGAGUCCACUAAAGGAACGUUUAAGACUAAGACGUUGAUAGGCUGGGUGUGUAAGCGUAGCGAUACGUUGAGCUAACCAGUACUAAUGAUCCGUGAGGCUUAACCUU